AGCGGUGGAUCACUCGGCUCAUAUGUCGAUGAAGGCCGCAGCAAAAUGCGAAAGAUAGUGUGAAUUGCAGGACACAUUGAACAUCGAUAUUCUGAACGCAAAUUGCAGAGCGAAGCUUGUCUUCGUUCAACGCCUGUCUGAGGGUCAUUGA
RNAcentral lists this ribosomal RNA (151 nucleotides) under Oikopleura sp. RNAcentral's name for it is "5.8S ribosomal RNA". It matches the Rfam family "5.8S ribosomal RNA". From Rfam's summary of the family: 5.8S ribosomal RNA (5.8S rRNA) is a component of the large subunit of the eukaryotic ribosome. It is transcribed by RNA polymerase I as part of the 45S precursor that also contains 18S and 28S rRNA. The record is from RNAcentral. Lineage: Eukaryota; Metazoa; Chordata; Appendicularia; Copelata; Oikopleuridae.